AUGGUGGCAGAUAGCCCCAAAGCACCAUCAGUCUAUCCCCUGACACCCAAAUCCAGAGAAGCAUCUGACUCCAUGGUGACCUUGGGCUGCAUGGUCAAGGACUUCUUCCCGGAGCUGGUGGCAGUAUCCUGGCCCUCUGUCCCCCAGGCUGAUGUGCACACCUUCACACCCAUGCGGCAUUCGUCUGGCCUCUACUCCCUCAUCAGCAUGGUCACCAUGCCCUCUAGCAGCUGGCCCAGCCAGGAUUAUGCCUGCAGUGUCACCCACAUGCCCAGCGAGACCAAAGUGGACAAGAAGAUCGCUCCUGAAAAUCUGGGAGGACCCUCCGUCUUCAUCUUCCCACCCAAGCCCAAGGACACCCUCAUGAUGUCCCGAAACCCGGAGGUGACGUGUCUGGUGUUGGAUGUGGGCCAGGACGAACCCGAAGUCCAGUUCAGCUGGUUUGUGGACGGCACAGAGGUGCACACAGCCAAGGAUGGGCCACAGGAGGAGCAGUACAAUGGCACCUCCCGCGUGGCCAGUGUACUCCCCAUCCUGCACCAGGACUGGCUCUCGGGCAAGGAGUUCAAGUGCAUUGUCAACAACGGGGCCCUUCCUGCCCCUGCUGUAAGGACCAUCUCCAAGGCCAAGGGACAGCCUCGGGCCCCUCAAGUGCACACCAUGGCCCCAGUCAUUCUUGAGAAUGACAAGAACAUGGUCAGCAUCAUCUGCAUGGUGAAGGGAUUCUACCCUGAGAACAUCAAUGUGGAGUGGAUGAGCAAUGAGCGGCCUGAGCCUGAGGCCAACUAUGUGAACACACCUCCCCAAGAGGAGGGUGAUGGGACCUUCUUCUUGUACAGUAAGCUGACGGUGCCUAGGAACGACUGGGAACGAGAGACGACUUUCAACUGCGUGGUGAUGCACGAGGCCCUGCACAACCACUACACCCAGAAGGCAGUCGCUCAGUCCCCGGAGCUGCAACCAGAUGAGAGUUGCACAGAGGCCCAGGAGGGGGAGCUGGACGGACUGUGGACCACCAUCACCAUCUUCAUCACCCUCUUCCUGCUCAGCGUGUGUUACAGCGCUACCGUCACCCUCUUCAAGGUAAACUGGAUCUUCUCUUCUGUGGUGGAACUGAAACGCACCAUCGUGCCCAACUACAGAAACAUGAUCGGCCAGGCAGCCUAG
Non-coding RNA from Echinops telfairi (small Madagascar hedgehog), 1167 nucleotides. NCBI's taxonomy places the organism in Eukaryota, Metazoa, Chordata, Mammalia, Afrosoricida, Tenrecidae. The record is from the annotation of a RefSeq genome assembly.